UACGUAGGUGGCAAGCGUUGUCCGGAUUUACUGGGCGUAAAGAGCGCGCAGGCGGUCGUUCAAGUCGCGUGUGAAAGCCCCCGGCUCAACUGGGGAGGGUCACGCGAUACUGAUCGACUCGAAGGCAGGAGAGGGAAGUGGAAUUCCCGGUGUAGUGGUGAAAUGCGUAGAUAUCGGGAGGAACACCAGUGGCGAAGGCGACUCCUGGCCUGUUCUUGACGCUGAGGCGCGAAAGCUAGGGGAGCAAACGGG
RNAcentral lists this ribosomal RNA (252 nucleotides) under uncultured bacterium. Its description in RNAcentral is "partial 16S ribosomal RNA". It matches the Rfam family "Bacterial small subunit ribosomal RNA", at positions 524 to 776 of the family's 1533-position model. The record is from RNAcentral.